Seriola aureovittata is the source of this 215-nucleotide long non-coding RNA. RefSeq lists it as uncharacterized. The transcript has 2 exons. Lineage: Eukaryota; Metazoa; Chordata; Actinopteri; Carangiformes; Carangidae. The record is from RefSeq and is a predicted model, not a curated record.
UGGAACUGUUUGUGCCUGCAGUUGCAGUAGCACCUUUUCGCCUAUAGAGGGCGCAGUGCGUUUAUUUACCUGUGUGAUUUACAGGAAGUGAGGUACCUGGAAGUUUUUAUUUUCUGCUUCAUAACGAGAGAUACUCAGUCGUCCAGCUGUUUGUUUUGCCCUUGUACUGGCAAUAUAAUUUCACAAUUUUUGGCAUUAAACCUGUCCAACCACAA